Molecule: transfer RNA, 69 nt
Filed under: Auchenoglanis occidentalis (giraffe catfish)
Lineage: Eukaryota; Metazoa; Chordata; Actinopteri; Siluriformes; Auchenoglanididae
Description: tRNA-Asp
Rfam family: tRNA
About the family: Transfer RNA (tRNA) molecules are approximately 80 nucleotides in length. Their secondary structure includes four short double-helical elements and three loops (D, anti-codon, and T loops).
Source: RNAcentral
AAGAUACUAGUAAAACAAUUACCUUGCCUUGUCGAGGCAAAAUUGUAGGUUAAAGCCCUGCGUACCUUA